RNAcentral lists this ribosomal RNA (497 nucleotides) under uncultured bacterium. RNAcentral describes it as "partial 16S ribosomal RNA". It matches the Rfam family "Bacterial small subunit ribosomal RNA", at positions 28 to 507 of the family's 1533-position model. The record is from RNAcentral.
GAUGAACGCUGGCGGCGUGCCUAAUACAUGCAAGUCGAGCGAACGGACGAGAAGCUUGCUUCUCUGAUGUUAGCGGCGGACGGGUGAGUAACACGUGGAUAACCUACCUAUAAGACUGGGAUAACUUCGGGAAACCGGAGCUAAUACCGGAUGAUAUUUUGAACCGCAUGGUUCAAAAGUGAAAGACGGUCUUGCUGUCACUUAUAGAUGGAUCCGCGCUGCAUUAGCUAGUUGGUAAGGUAACGGCUUACCAAGGCAACGUACCAUAGCCGACCUGAGAGGGUGAUCGGCCACACUGGAACUGAGACACGGUCCAGACUCCUACGGGAGGCGGCAGUAGGGAAUCUUCCGCAAUGAGCGAAAGCCUGACGGAGCAACGCCGCGUGAGUGAUGAAGGUCUUCGGAUCUUAAAACUCUGUUAUUAGGGAAGAACAUAUGUGUAAGUAACUGUGCACAUCGUGACGGUACCUAAUCAGAAAGCCACGGCUAACUACGUG